GGGCCCGCACAAGCGGUGGAGCAUGUGGUUUAAUUCGAUGAUACGCGAGGAACCUUACCAGGGCUUAAAUGUAAGUUGCAUUAGUUAGAGAUGGUCUUUUCUUCGGACUACUUACAAGGUGCUGCAUGGUUGUCGUCAGCUCGUGCCGUGAGGUGUCAGGUUAAGUCCUAUAACGAGCGCAACCCCUGUUGUUAGUUGCCAUCGAGUCAUGUCGGGAACUCUAACAAGACUGCCGGUGCAAACCGUGAGGAAGGUGGGGAUGACGUCAAAUCAUCACGGCCCUUACGUCCUGGCUACACACGUGCUACAAUGGCCGGUACAGAGAGCAGCCACUACGCGAGUAGGCGCG
Molecule: ribosomal RNA, 349 nt
Filed under: uncultured bacterium
Lineage: Bacteria
Description: bacterial SSU rRNA
Rfam family: Bacterial small subunit ribosomal RNA
Source: RNAcentral